RNAcentral lists this ribosomal RNA (447 nucleotides) under uncultured bacterium. RNAcentral describes it as "partial 16S ribosomal RNA". It matches the Rfam family "Bacterial small subunit ribosomal RNA", at positions 29 to 523 of the family's 1533-position model. The record is from RNAcentral.
AACGAACGCUGGCGGCAGGCCUAAUACAUGCAAGUCGAACGCCCCGCAAGGGGAGUGGCAGACGGGUGCGUAACACGUGGGAAUCUCCCCAAAAGUAAGGAACAACAGUUGGAAACGACUGCUAAUACCUUAUGUGCUCUUCGGAGGAAAGAUUUAUCGCUUUUGGAUGAGCCCGCGUCUGAUUAGCUAGUUGGUGGGGUAAUGGCCUACCAAGGCAACGAUCAGUAGCUGGUCUUAGAGGACGAUCAGCCACACUGGGACUGAGACACGGCCCAGACUCCUACGGGAGGCAGCAGUAGGGAAUAUUGGACAAUGGAGGAAACUCUGAUCCAGCCAUGCCGCGUGAGUGAUGAAGGCCUUCGGGUUGUAAAGCUCUUUGAUUGGAGACAAUAAUGAUGGUAUCCAAAGAACAAGCCCCGGCUAACUCUGUGCCAGCCGCCGCAGUAA